AUCCAGCUGACGAAUCCUAAAUAGCACGAAACGCGCGUCAAACUGGAU
Molecule: non-coding RNA, 48 nt
Organism: Schistosoma mansoni
Lineage: Eukaryota; Metazoa; Platyhelminthes; Trematoda; Strigeidida; Schistosomatidae
Source: Rfam